ACCCUUUAGUUCCCUUCCCAUUGGAUCUGAACACCGGUCUUGGUCAUAAAAGUAGAAAAAGCAAUACUAAAGCUGGCCUCACAGUGUUUGUGGUCUAUUAUGUAGCAUGUGGGCUAGUUUCAAAAAGGG
Molecule: non-coding RNA, 129 nt
Organism: Pteropus alecto (black flying fox)
Lineage: Eukaryota; Metazoa; Chordata; Mammalia; Chiroptera; Pteropodidae
Source: Rfam